CCAAGAUGUAGAACAACCAGAUGCUUCAGAUUUAUACAUCCGGUGGGCCAUCUGGCUCAAAUCUCUGUGACAGCAGGGACCAGCAGUAGAGAGGAGAAUGCCCUUGUUUCACGCCUUCAAGAUUUAAAGUGUUAUCUGUGCAAGAUUUCAGUGCUCCUCUUCCCAUCUAGUCCUGAUGGACUUUCUUGAGAGUGGACUGAAGAGAAUGAACCAACAGGUUGGUGGAUCAUGCUAUCAGUCUUGGGCAUAAACUACAUCUUUCAAUGCCUCGACAUCCAAAAGAUGUAUGCAAGGGUACUGUUUAUCGACUGCGUUCAACAUCAUCCUAGAACUAAUAUAUUGUUCCUUACAAACUGUUAACUGUUCAUAAGAAAGCUGCACUGUACUGCUCCAAAAACAGUGAAUGUCCUUACAUUCAGUGGAUGCACAUACUGGAACUGUCAAUCUGUAAAUGUUUACAUUACUGUAAAUUCCUAUGUGGGACAUAUUCUUACCACUCAUAUUUCAUCAUCUCCACGACAAUCCAGUGUAUAUAAGUGUAUGUCAACUUUGUAGUUUUUGUGUAUUAUUUCCCCAAAAAGUAUUCAGAUUUCAGACCCUUUCACUUUUUACACAUUUUGUUAUAUUACCGCCUUAUUCUAAAAUGGAUAAUAAAUGUUUUAC
Esox lucius (northern pike) is the source of this 663-nucleotide long non-coding RNA. Lineage: Eukaryota; Metazoa; Chordata; Actinopteri; Esociformes; Esocidae. The record is from Ensembl.